Molecule: long non-coding RNA, 1149 nt
Filed under: Androctonus crassicauda
Lineage: Eukaryota; Metazoa; Arthropoda; Arachnida; Scorpiones; Buthidae
Source: RNAcentral
AGCAGAUACGUUAUUUGUAUUUAAUCACACCAAAACAAUAAACUGUUUAAUAUAUCAACAAGAUGGCCACAGUGGAAGUGUGCUGUGCUCUCUCUGAAGAAUUCGGUGUCCGUAAUUCCGAAUCACGUGACAUAAAUUCGGGGAAUGGUGGAAAUUCAGAAUGUACGUAAGUCCGAAGCGCCGUAACUCGGGGUAUUCCUGUAUAUAUAAUAAGAUUGUAUUUUUCCUGCUUUAAAAGCAGCAGCUGAAAAAUAAUAGUUUUUUUUUAAUUAGAAUAUCAGGUUCAGUUUGGUGGUCCUCCAAAACCUCCGGGAGCACUACCAAUUAGUGCUAUGAUAUCACCAUUUGCUAGUUUACAAGGUAAAAUUGUAAUUUACAGUUUACUUACAUUUCAUUAAGUCAUGUUUUAAAAUUUUUAUUAACAGUUGGUAAUCCCCGACAACCUGCACCAAGAAUGCCUAUGGUUGGACCUCCACCGGGAAUGGGCCCUAUGCCUGGUCCUAUGCCAGGCCCAAUGCAGAUGAUGGGUCCUCCUGGACCGAUGCCACCAAACAUGAUGAUGCCAGGUAUGCGUCCUCCAGUUGGACCAAUGGGACCCAUGAUGCCAAUGGGACCAAUGCCAGGUCCAGUCAGACCUCCAAUGAUGGCUUCCAACUCUCCUCAACCACCAGCACCUCAACCUCCAGAAAACGAGAAGUGAAUCUGAACAAGCAUUUAUCCAGAAUAAAGCAUCGAAUGGAAAUUGUUCUCUAUUCUGGCUCUUUUUAUAUUCGAUUGAUAAUCAGUUGAUCUUACUCCUGUGUGGCUGGAAGAGUUCAGGUAUAAUCUUCCUGCACUCCAUCCGUCUACUUAUUGGUUAACUUUGUUAUGUCCUACUGUUUUAUAAUAGAUAUUCAGAACCUAACUUUAAUAGAUAUCUACUGAACUUAAAUAUCAGUGUAUAAAAAAACAAUCUGGAUAUAGAUUAGACAUGGCAGAUGAUUUCAUUUUCAAGAAAAUUGUAGAUAUGUAUUUGAAUGUGAUCAUUCUGGUAAGUGCAAUUGAACAUUUAACUGCACAGUAAACUAAUCCUCUAAAUAUUUUAGGAGUGGGGAAUCUGAUGUCAAUAUGCAAUUUAUAGAUAGUUUUUUGUUCACUCUAUAAAACGUG